RNAcentral lists this ribosomal RNA (468 nucleotides) under uncultured bacterium. Its description in RNAcentral is "partial 16S ribosomal RNA". It matches the Rfam family "Bacterial small subunit ribosomal RNA", at positions 28 to 507 of the family's 1533-position model. The record is from RNAcentral.
GACGAACGCUGGCGGCGUGCUUAACACAUGCAAGUCGAACGGAAAGGCCCUGCUUGUGUGGGGUGCUCGAGUGGCGAACGGGUGAGUAACACGUGAGUAACCUGCCCUUGACUUUGGGAUAACUUCAGGAAACUGGGGCUAAUACCGGAUAGGAUCUCCUGCUGCAUGGUGGGGGUGGGAAAUUUUCGGCGGUUGGGGAUGGACUCGCGGCUUAUCGGCUUGUUGGUGGGGUAGUGGCUUACCCAGGCUUUGACGGGUAGCCGGCCUGAGAGGGUGACCGGGCACAUUGGGCCUGAGAUACGGCCCAGAGUCCUACGGGAGGCAGCAGUGGGGAAUCUGGCCCAAUGGGCGGAAGCCUGAUGCAGAAACGCCGCGUGCGGGAUGACGGCCUUCGGGGUGUAAAACGCUUUCGCCUGUGACGAAGCGUGAGUGACGGUAAUGGGUAAAGAAGCACCGGCUAACUACGUG